UGACUCCUUAAGGGUCCUGAAGGAACGUUGAAGACGACGACGUUGAUAGGCCGGGUGUGUAAGCGCAGCGAUGCGUUGAGCUAACCGGUACUAAUGAACCGUGAGGCUUAACCUUACAACGCCGAAGCUGUU
This 132-nucleotide ribosomal RNA is filed under the name Escherichia coli. RNAcentral describes it as "partial 23S ribosomal RNA". The stretch from base 1 to 115 matches the Rfam family "Bacterial large subunit ribosomal RNA", at positions 2807 to 2925 of the family's 2925-position model. Lineage: Bacteria; Pseudomonadati; Pseudomonadota; Gammaproteobacteria; Enterobacterales; Enterobacteriaceae. The record is from RNAcentral.